AUUGAACGCUGGCGGAAUGCUUUACACAUGCAAGUCGAACGGCAGCACGGGUGCUUGCACCUGGUGGCGAGUGGCGAACGGGUGAGUAAUAUAUCGGAACGUAUCCAAUAAUGGGGGAUAACUAGCCGAAAGGUUAGCUAAUACCGCAUACGCCCUGAGGGGGAAAGCUGGGGAUCGUAAGACCUAGCGUUGAUGGAGCGGCCGAUAUCUGAUUAGCUAGUUGGUGGGGUAAGAGCCUACUAAGGCGACGAUCAGUAGCUGGUCUGAGAGGACGACCAGCCACACUGGAACUGAGACACGGUCCAGACUCCUACGGGAGGCAGCAGUGGGGAAUCUUGGACAAUGGGGGCAACCCUGAUCCAGCCAUUCCGCGUGAGUGAGGAAGGCCUUCGGGUUGUAAAGCUCUUUCGCAAGGGAAGAAAACUCGAUCUCUAAUAUAGGUUGAGGCUGACGGUACCUUGAUAAGAAGCACCGGCUAACUACGUGCCAGCAGCCGCCGUAA
This 502-nucleotide ribosomal RNA is filed under the name uncultured bacterium. RNAcentral's name for it is "partial 16S ribosomal RNA". It matches the Rfam family "Bacterial small subunit ribosomal RNA", at positions 30 to 523 of the family's 1533-position model. The record is from RNAcentral.